GUGAACGCUGGCGGCAUGUCUAAGGCAUGCAAGUCGAACGUAUACUUCGGUAUACGUGGCGAACGGGAGAGUAACACAUUGGUAAUCUACCUCUAUCUUGAGUAUAACCCAGAGAAAUUUGGGACAAUCCUCGAUAGUCAUGGGGGGACAUAAGUCAUUCCCAUGUAAAGCUUCGGCGGAUAGAGAGGAGCCUAUGGCUUAUCAGCUUGUUGGCAGGGUAAUGGCCUACCAAGGCGACGACGAGUAACGGGUGUGAGAGCAUGACCCGUCCCACUGGGACUGAGAUACUGCCCAGACUCCUACGGGAGGCUGCAGUCAAGAAUCUUCCUCAAUGAGCGAAAGCUUGAAGGAGCAAUGCCGCGUGAUCGAUGAAGCCCCUCGGGGUGUAAAGAUCUUUUAUUAGGGACAAAUUCGUGAUGGUACCUAAAGAAUAAGUCACUGCUAACUUCGU
This 451-nucleotide ribosomal RNA is filed under the name uncultured bacterium. RNAcentral describes it as "bacterial SSU rRNA". It matches the Rfam family "Bacterial small subunit ribosomal RNA", at positions 29 to 506 of the family's 1533-position model. The record is from RNAcentral.